Molecule: RNA transcript, 2908 nt
Organism: Tympanuchus pallidicinctus (lesser prairie-chicken)
Lineage: Eukaryota; Metazoa; Chordata; Aves; Galliformes; Phasianidae
Exons: 3
Source: RefSeq, a predicted model, not a curated record
UCCAACCUGCAGAGAUGUCUGGACUUCUGACAGAGAAGAGAACUGCAAGUGUUUCUGUGGUGCACAGAACAGAUCUGAGAUGGGCAGUGGCAAGGAAAGGGGAAGAGCUGAUGAGCUGCAUGCUGGGACCUGCUCCUACACAGUGCCACCGGAGCUAGGGACAGUCACACGUGAGCGCAUCAUGCAAACAACUGUGGCUGUACAUUGGUGGGAGCAGAAGGAACAGCAGCCUGUUGGAUUGUCCGUGUGUCCACCAGAAGUUCUCCAAGAGCACGGGACAGUGAGACCAGCAGCAGCAGCACCUUCAUGCCUGGCUAUGCAAGGUAACCGCAGAAGUGCAACCCGCCUGUGUGUGAGCUCUGCCCUCACGGUCAAGAGAAGCACAGAGCAGCCCCUAUGCACCUGCAUGCAGCCACCUGCGAAAGAGGAACUUCAUGGAGCAGUCCAGGGGCAAUGUUGGCGGGUCAACAGCAAUGCCCAGAAGCCUUCUGCAUUUUUGUCUGCCCUAAAGUAUUGGGGGGGUUCUAUAACUGUGGAAUCAAAAACAAAUGUGGGGAAGACAGUCCAGUACAACACGAGAAAGCUGUACUGGCAUGUGCAGUAGCCCCCCAGACAUGCUGGGAAAGAGACAUGGGGCUCCAAAGCAGACAGAGGUGCCAAAAAGGAGCCUCAUAGCGUCUGCUUUGGCUUGCUGCCACCAGUGACCGUGACAAUAGUACGUGGCAUUCGCUAUGGUCCCCUUGAGUGGCUGGCUGGUAGGAAGCGGCUCAGCUGGUUCCCGCAUGGCUCUUGGCCACUGGCAGACGGCGCUUGCGACUGAGGAGAUGGUGGCGGCGAGAAGCAGCAGCACUGCAGUCAGGUGCCGACAGACAGACGGGUCGGCCAUCGUGCUGCUGCUCCUUCUGCAGCAGCUGCAGCAAAGCUGAUGAGAAGCUGAAGUGGCUGGUGCUGUCGGCGCUGCCCGAUGACGUGCCUGCUCCGGGCCCUGACUUCUGGGAGGCGGCUUGGAGGGACCUGGAGGAGCUGGUGGAGCAGGGCAGCCUGUCCUGCUGCAGCUCCCACCGUCCCUGGAGCUCUACCGAAGUAAACAAGGACUCCCUUAAUGUGCACCAAGGAGCCUCGGCAGAGCACGUCCCCGUUAGUGCCCCUGGACACAUGCAGACUGGCACAGCCCACACAGAUUCCAGAACACAGCCCAGCUGUUUGCGCUCUUUUGUGCUGCGUGUGCUGGGCUUCUCCAGGCAGGAAACAAAACCUGCCCAGAUGAAGAAUCAAGGUCGCAAGGCAGCCAGCAGAGCAGUUGGAGAUGCCUCUGAGGAUGGCUUUUCCAGCUGGCAACCACCAGCAGAGGACUGCAUUUUACGCGAGAACAUCCUUCUGCCAGACGGACGGCUGCCUCAGAGACCGGAUAAUCUGGUGCCCAUCCCAGAGUGGGCAGUGAAUCCACCAGCAGAGCGUAGCAGCUACACAGAGGCUGCGGGAGUGGCAACAAGAAGACCAGCUCCAACCUGCAGAGAUGUCUGGACUUCUGACAGAGAAGAGAACUGCAAGUGUUUCUGUGGUGCACAGAACAGAUCUGAGAUGGGCAGUGGCAAGGAAAGGGGAAGAGCUGAUGAGCUGCAUGCUGGGACCUGCUCCUACACAGUGCCACCGGAGCUAGGGACAGUCAAACGUGAGCGCAUCAUGCAAACAACUGCGGCUGUACAUUGGUGGGAGCAGAAGGAACAGCAGCCUGUUGGAUUGUCCGUGUGUCCACCAGAAGUUCUCCAAGAGCACGGGACAGUGAGACCAGCAGCAGCAGCACCUUCAUGCCUGGCUAUGCAAGGUAACCACAGAAGUGCAACCCGCCUGUGUGUGAGCUCUGCCCUCACGGUCAAGAGAAGCACAGAGCAGCCCCUAUGCACCUGCAUGCAGCCACCUGCGAAAGAGGAACUUCAUGGAGCAGUCCAGGGGCAAUGUUGGCGGGUCAACAGCAAUGCCCAGAAGCCUUCUGCAUUUUUGUCUGCCCUAAAGUACUGGGGGGGUUCUAUAACUGUGGAAUCAAAAACAAAUGUGGGGAAGACAGUCCAGUACAACACGAGAAAGCUGUACUGGCAUGUGCAGUAGCCCCCCAGACAUGCUGGGAAAGAGACAUGGGGCUCCAAAGCAGACAGAGGUGCCAAAAAGGAGCCUCAUAGCGUCUGCUUUGGCUUGCUGCCACCAGUGACCGUGACAAUAGUACGUGGCAUUCGCUAUGGUCCCCUUGAGUGGCUGGCUGGUAGGAAGCGGCUCAGCUGGUUCCCGCAUGGCUCUUGGCCACUGGCAGACGGCGCUUGCGACUGAGGAGAUGGUGGCGGCGAGAAGCAGCAGCACCAGAGACAGUUGCCGACAGACAGAUGGGUCGGUCAUCGUGCUGCUGCUCCAUCUGCAACCGCUGCAGCAAAGCUGACGAGAAGCUGCAGUGGCUGGUGCUGUCAGCACUGCCUGAGGAUGCAGCAGCUCCGGGCCGUGGAUUCUGGAAGGUAGCGUGGAGGGAGCUGGUGGAGCUGGUGGAGCUGGUGGGGCAGGGCAGCCUGUCCUCCUGCAGCUCCCCCAGUGCCCAGAGUGCUGCCAGAAUUAAUGAACUCCAUCAAUGUGCAGCAAGGCGCCUCAAAGGAGCUGGUCCCUGUCUGUGCGCCUGGACACGUGCAGCCUGACACGGCCCACACAUGGAAGAAUGUAACAGCACCGGGGAACAGGCAGCUGGCACGUACAGUCCCAUUAAAUCCCCAUUCUAGUCAUCCUGUGGUGGUUGCUGUGUCUGUGAAGUCGCAGCGGGACGUGCGUGAGAGCGGGGUGCUCAGCAGGACAGGGCCGAUCCCGGGGAUCAGCCCGAGCUUCCCCCGCGCACCUGGCUGGGCAGCAGGUUGCCGUGCAGCCGACGUGGGGA